Orcinus orca (killer whale) is the source of this 4455-nucleotide long non-coding RNA. RefSeq lists it as uncharacterized. The transcript has 4 exons. The record is from RefSeq and is a predicted model, not a curated record. NCBI's taxonomy places the organism in Eukaryota, Metazoa, Chordata, Mammalia, Artiodactyla, Delphinidae.
CCAAUAAAGAUGUUAAAAAAAUAAUAAAAAAUAAAGCACAUCGGAGAGAGACCUGCUCAGCAAUGCUGUGGGGCUGAAAGCUGGGCUGUUGUGACCAUGUACGUUGGUAAAUGAGUGGAAAAUUGGAGAGCUGGGUAUUUCAGGGCACAUCCACCGGCAGUCAGAACUGCGCUUUUGUGAAGAUGGAGAGCUGAAUUUCAGUGGUUUGUGUUGGUUACUUGUUGUUUGUGAUUUCUUUUUCAUCGUGCUGGUUACAUAUUGUUUGUGAUUUCUUUUUCAUCUUUUUUUUUUUUUGGCCUUGCCGUGCAGCGUGCGGGAUCUUAGUUCCCCGACCAGGGAUCGAACCUGUGCCUCCUGCUUUGGGAAUGUGGAGUUUUAACCACUGGACCACCAGGGAAGUCCUUUCUUUUCAUCUUCGGGUCUUUCCCUCUUUCUCCCCUGAUAUGUGUCUUUAUCAUCAAAUGGAACAGAGACACACGUGAUUUGUAUGAUUUAGGUCAGCAGUCCCCAAAGUUAGAGACUGGAAGACAGGAGGUGGGUGAGGGAGGUGGUGGAUUCAGUGGGUGAGGAGGGAAGCGGGCAGCCCUGAGCAGAGAUUCCCUUCCCUGGGCCAGACCUUCCCCUCCACCGCCCUCCUUCCCAGCCGCUGUAGGUCACGUCCAGCCCCCCGCCCCCCCCCCCCACCUUCGCCCUUGGUGUCCUUUACCUCCUCCUUCUCUGGGAGAUUGCCACUAACGUUUGGAAUGGGUCACGCCCAACACCAAAUUUUGACAGCAAGUUAAAAGCCAAAAUGCAUUCUCUUUUGCUUUUUGUACUGCCUAAAAAAGGACAUCCUGCGUAGAUUAACAAGUGACAUGCACGGACAGUGCUGAAUGGAACCUUUAGGUUAUUGAUUCUAAAUAACCGUAACUCCUGUCUGAAAUGUUUCCUUUGUGUCUAGGGAGCCCUGAGUGAAUGCUUCCCGGGACUGGCAGUUCACUUCCAGCCCUUCAGGCAGCCCGUUUACCUUGGGCACCCCUGUUGGAAAUGCCUUCUGUAAACGUGACUGAAACCAGGCUCCCUGGCACUUCCCACCCACUGGUCUAAUUUUACCCCCUGGGAAUCACCCUGAAGGAAUCUAAUUCUUCUUCCAGGGGCUAGAAUUUCAAAGAUUUGAGGGACUGUCUCCUGUCCCCAGUGAAUCUUCUAUUCUCCAAGCUCUUCAUAUAAACUAACCUCCCUAGGCUGGUAACUCUCCUCUUAACAGAAGCUAGAGUUUGUAUGAUGAUUUUUCUGAAGUGUGACUCCUGGACCCAGACAUGGCCCCAGAUGUGGCCCAACCAGCACAGAGGAAAACGGAUGACCGCCUUCCUCAUCUUCAAAUUAGACGACACAUGACACUCUCAACUCACAUGGAAUUUUUAGUUAUGCUUCUAAGUCGUCAUCUGUCCCAUAUAAUAAUCUUAUAUAAACCACAUUCAUGGAGUUUUUUUUUUUUUGACCCAAGUGGGUUUUAGUUUUUUGAAGCAAAUAAAGAACCUUAAAUAUAUUCCUUUUGAAAUUUUAUUGUGUUUGACUUGCCCGACUGCCAGGGGUUUUGAGGGGACUGCUGGAUCCUAAUUUCAUCAUCCAGUCAUCUGGUUGCCCCUGUGCCGCCCACAGCUGUAACCACCAUGCCAUCAGUCUUCUCAUCCACGUUGUGUGAAGGAAGCAGCCACAGAAUGAGGCAGAACCCUGAGACCUCCCCACCUGUAACCUGUAUGUUUGCUCUUCUGGCUGCACUCCUGGGAGGCUGUUGUUCACUGAGCUUAUACUCUACUCAGUGAUGCUCUCUUACAGCUUGUGUCCCUCUUUCUUGACUACAAGGAUGUGUAGAUGAGCGUGUAGCCAGAAUGUCACCUCCACGUGGAAUUCAUCACUGUGUCCCAGCUCGGAAGACAGUGCCUGGAUGUCUUAGGCGGUUUAUUGAAGUUUAAUUGAUACACAAAAAACCCCCCAACAAAAUCCUGGAUGUAUUUAAUGUAUACAGUUUGAUGAGUGGACAUAUGCACACACCUGUGAAACCAUCACCACAGUCAAGCCUAUCUGCUGAUGCAGCAUCACUUUUGUUUCCAGUAAAUGAAAGGAAAACAUUUCCACCCACUUAGUAGUUAGGCAAAGGGAAGAAAAGAAGCUUGAGUGCUCAGCAGUUCUCUGAGGCAUAAAGAAUUACUUUGCUACAGAAUGCAAUGGAUUAUGUUUAGCGUGAUAGGAACAAACAAAUAUUUCAAAUUAUCCAUAUGACUGUUGGUCAAAUCCUGCAAACUGCUAGCAAAUGUGAAAAUAAUCCAGACUGAUUAUGAUGAAUUUUGUCCCAGAAUCAAAGGAACUGUUGCUGGAAUUAAAACAAGAACGAGGAUCUUACUGCUCCAUUUGUCUGUGGAGGGAAAUGAUGAAGGACAGGGAUUUGCUAUUUACAGUUUUUCUCCCACAGAGGGAGAAAGCUUCAAAGUUUCAAAGUGGGUUUGAUAUGGUUCUUUUUCUUUCAGUUGUCAAUCCUUUGUUCAGAAAAACCAGUAUUCUGGCCUAAGGAUAUAUCAAUGGAAAUGUCUUCCAAGUGUUGGCCAAUAAUGAUACCAUAUAAAAAUACCAUUUAGAAUGUUUUAACCUAAUGUUUUAAGGUGUUAAUGGUAAAAUGUGAAAGAUAUAUGCUUUUAAAAAUUGAGGUAUCAUUUACAUACAGAAAGACAAACGCGUACCGUCGCCUAACUACUACACAGUCGAGAUAUAGAAUAAUCCCGUUACCCACAAAAUUCCCUUGUGCCUUUUGUGGUCAGACCCUCUCCCCACCCUCACUCCCUGACAGUCACUCAUCUGUCUCCUCUCCCUCUAUUUUCCAGAAUAUUGUAUGGAUGGAAUCAUAGAGAAUGUAAACCUUUGAGUCUGGCUGCUUUCACUUAGCAAAAUGCAUUUGAGAUUGUUUCGUGUUUAUUAAUCUUUAUUGCUGAGUAGGGGUCCACUGUAUGGAUAUACCCGACUUUAUCAUUCACCAGUAGAAAAAAUUUGGAUUUUUUUCCUGCAAUUCUUGAUGAUUAUGAAUAAAGUCGCUACAAACAUUUGAAUAGUGUUUAUUUUAUUUUAUUUUUUUUUGCGGUAAGCAGGCCUCUCACUGCUGUGGCCUCUCCCGUUGCGGAGCACAGGCUCCGGACACGCAGGCUCAGCGGCCAUGGCUCACGGGCCCACCCGCUCCGCAGCUUGUGGAAUCUUCCCGGACCAGGGCACGAACCCGUGUCCCCUGCAUCGGCAGGCGGACUCUCAACCACUGCGCCACCAGGGAAGCCCUUUAUUUUAUUUUUCAUUUUUACUUUUUUGUGAACACGAGUGUUUGUUGAAGUUGGGUAAAUCCCUAGAAAUAGAACUGCUGGGUGUCCGUUAUGUUGUAAGAAAUCACCAGGCUGUGGCUGUAUUAUCCGCAUUCCCACCAGCAGUGCAGGGGAGUUCUGCUUGCUCGGCAUCUUCAUCAGCAAUUGGUUUUCUGAGUUUUCUCCUCUCGUUCCAAUAGGUUUGUUCUGGUUUCUUAUUAGGGCAUCAUUUUGUAUUUUCCUAAUGAUGUAAUGGGGAGCAUCUUUUCAUAAUCUUAUUUGCUACCCAUAGCAAAUCAGUUCUUUAAUGAGGUGUCUGUUCAGAUCUUUCGCCUGUUUUUAAAAUUGGGUUGUUUGUUUACUUAUUAUUAAGUUUUGAUAGUUCUUUAUAAAUUUAGGAUCCAAACAUAUAUCAGACAUGUGUUUUAUCAGACAUAUGUUUUGCCAACAUUUUCUCCCAGUCUGUGGCUUCUCUUUUUCCUUCGUUUAGCAGUGUAUUUUGCAAAGCCGAAGUUUUUAAAAAAAUUUAUUUUAUUCAAGUAUAGUUGACUUACAAUGUGUUAAUUUCUGCUGUACAGCAAAGUGAUUCAGUUAUACAUAUAUAUACAUUCGUUUUCAUAUUCUUUUCCAUUAUGGUUUAUCACAGGAUAUUGAAUAUGUUCCCUAUGCUCUGCAGCAGGACCUUGUUUGUCCAUUCAAUAAAUAUUAGUUUGCAUCUGCUGACCCCAAACUCCCAAUACAUCCCUCCCUCCACUGCCCUUGGCAACCACAAGGCUGUUCUUUAUGUCGCAAAGCAGAAGUUUUUAAUUUUGAUGAAGUCCAACUUAAUCAAUCUUUUAUGAGUUGUACUUUCAUAUCAUAUCUAAGAAAUUUUGCCAAGUCACAAAGUUUUUCUCCUAUGUUUACUUUUGUAGUUUAGGUUUAUAGUUACAGUUUUAGGUUUUACAUUAAGGUCUAUGAUCCAUUUUGGGUAAAAUGUUGUGGAAUAAGGUAUGAAUUAAGGUUUAUUUCUUUGCAUGUGGCCAUCCAAUUAUUCUAGCAACAUUUGUUGAAAAAACUGUUCUUUCUCUUUUGAAUUGUCAUUGCAUUUGUGUUGAAAAUCAGUUGACAAAAUAUAUGUGAGUCUACUUCUGGA